Molecule: long non-coding RNA, 448 nt
Filed under: Sander lucioperca (pikeperch)
Lineage: Eukaryota; Metazoa; Chordata; Actinopteri; Perciformes; Percidae
Description: lncRNA (ENSSLUG00000020935.1)
Source: RNAcentral
UGAUCUGAUACACACUUACACUGUAUUCCUCUUUUCUCGACCAGUCUCUCUAGUGCGAAGGGCUCCCACGGAGAUAGUCGGAGAGGGGGCCACGCUGCAGAGCUCAAUGGUCCAGCAGAGAGGAGGAAGAGCUGUACACUCAGGGGCAGCCAGGAGGUUGAACAGCACCAGGACACUGAGAAGAGAAGCCAUCCAGUCACUAAAACAAAGAACAGGAGCCUGCCCACAGACAGGGACAAGGGGAAGGGUGCUGCCUUUAUAGCCAACGGUAGGUUGGUACCAGCUCUGUCGCCUCAGAGGAAGAAUGGAGGUUUUGGUCCAGAUACCUUUGGUGAUACAUCAUCAGAAAGCUACAGCUCUCCAUCCAGCCCUCAACACAGAGGACAAGAGAGCCUGGAUAGUGAGGACGACAACAACAAAGAUACAGACAGCCACUCUGAUGACUCCA